UCCUGGUUAACCCAGGCAGUCUCAUUAGAGUUCCCACCUUAUAUGUUGGCAACUAAUGAUAAGGGUUGCGCUCGUUGCGGGACUUAACCCAACACCUCACGGCACGAGCUGACGACAGCCAUGCAGCACCUGUGCACCAGCCCCGAAGGGACACGCCAUUUCUGGCGCUGUCUAGUGCAUGUCAAGCCUGGGUAAGGUUCUUCGCGUUGCAUCGAAUUAAACCACAUGCUCCACUGCUUGUGCGGGUCCCCGUCAAUUCUUUUGAGUUUCAGCCUUGCGACUGUACUCCCCAGGCGGUAUACUUAUCGCGUUAGCUUCGGCACAGCCGGGGUUGAGUCCAGCUACACCAAGUAUACAUCGUUUAAGGCAAGGACUAC
This 377-nucleotide unclassified non-coding RNA is filed under the name uncultured Parachlamydiaceae bacterium. RNAcentral describes it as "contains 16S-23S intergenic spacer region". The record is from RNAcentral. Lineage: Bacteria; Pseudomonadati; Chlamydiota; Chlamydiia; Parachlamydiales; Parachlamydiaceae.